This 253-nucleotide ribosomal RNA is filed under the name uncultured bacterium. RNAcentral describes it as "partial 16S ribosomal RNA". It matches the Rfam family "Bacterial small subunit ribosomal RNA", at positions 524 to 776 of the family's 1533-position model. The record is from RNAcentral.
UACAGAGGUCCCAAGCGUUGUUCGGAUUCACUGGGCGUAAAGGGUGCGUAGGUGGCGAAGUAAGUCGGAUGUGAAAUCUCCGAGCUCAACUCGGAAAUGGCAUUGGAAACUACUUUGCUCGAGGGUCGGAAGGGGGACUGGAAUUCUCGGUGUAGCAGUGAAAUGCGUAGAUAUCGAGAGGAACACCAGUGGCGAAGGCGAGUCCCUGGACGACUCCUGACACUGAGGCACGAAAGCUAGGGGAGCAAACAGG